CCUACGGGUGGCUACAGUGGGGAAUAUUGGACAAUGGGCGAAAGCCUGAUCCAGCCAUGCCGCGUGUGUGAAGAAGGCCUUCGGGUUGUAAAGCACUUUCAGUGGGGAAGAAAGCCUUGGGGCUAAUACCCUCGAGGAAGGACAUCACCCACAGAAGAAGCACCGGCUAACUCCGUGCCAGCAGCCGCGGUAAUACGGAGGGUGCGAGCGUUAAUCGGAAUUACUGGGCGUAAAGCGCGCGUAGGCGGUCUGAUAAGCCGGUUGUGAAAGCCCCGGGCUCAACCUGGGAACGGCAUCCGGAACUGUCAGGCUAGAGUGCAGGAGAGGAAGGUAGAAUUCCCGGUGUAGCGGUGAAAUGCGUAGAGAUCGGGAGGAAUACCAGUGGCGAAGGCGGCCUUCUGGACUGACACUGACGCUGAGGUGCGAAAGCGUGGGUAGCAAACAGGAUUAGAUACCCGGGUAGUC
RNAcentral lists this ribosomal RNA (465 nucleotides) under Vreelandella stevensii. RNAcentral's name for it is "partial 16S ribosomal RNA". It matches the Rfam family "Bacterial small subunit ribosomal RNA", at positions 338 to 795 of the family's 1533-position model. The record is from RNAcentral. Lineage: Bacteria; Pseudomonadati; Pseudomonadota; Gammaproteobacteria; Oceanospirillales; Halomonadaceae.